Molecule: ribosomal RNA, 291 nt
Filed under: Leptospira noguchii
Lineage: Bacteria; Pseudomonadati; Spirochaetota; Leptospiria; Leptospirales; Leptospiraceae
Description: partial 16S ribosomal RNA
Rfam family: Bacterial small subunit ribosomal RNA
Source: RNAcentral
CAAGUCAAGCGGAGUAGCAAUACUCAGCGGCGAACGGGUGAGUAACACGUGGGUAAUCUUCCUCCGAGUCUGGGAUAACUUUCCGAAAGGGAAGCUAAUACUGGAUAGUCCCGAGAGAUCAUAAGAUUUUUCGGGUAAAGAUUCAUUGCUCGGAGAUGAGCCCGCGUCCGAUUAGCUAGUUGGUAAGGUAAAGGCUUACCAAGGCGACGAUCGGUAGCCGGCCUGAGAGGGUGUUCGGCCACAAUGGAACUGAGACACGGUCCAUACUCCUACGGGAGGCAGCAGUUAAGA